CUGGAUACCACCGCUGAGAAGCCCUGUGCAAGGUAAGGCAGUGCACCCGGGCAGCUCUGCGCCCUGGUGCUUACCGUGACCCUCGGGUGCCCCAGAGCACGGCAGUUGGCUUUGGAGUGAUGCCUUGGGCUGCUUCUUGUGUGGCUCAGGUCCAAGUCCACAGGAGACCCCUGGCUGACCGAUGGCUCCUACUUCGAUGGCACCGGUUACGCAGAGAUCAAGUUUGAGAGCCAGUUUGGCACCACCAAGCGCUUCGAGCAGGAGAUCCGGGUGGUCUCCUACAAUGGAAUCCUCUUCUUCCUGGAGAACCAGGCAGGGUCAGUUCCUGUGUCUGGCCAUCCGGGAUGGGAAGCUGGUGCUUUACUAUGACUUCAGCUCUGGCCUGGAGAUGGCAAAACCCAGCAGCAACUCCUCCUCCCUCACCAUCAGCAGCACCACAAACAAAGCGGUAAGGGGGAGCUUGCUUGGAGGGCUCCUCAGCCAGAGGGCAGGGGGGGCACCUGGACCCUUGGUUUUGGGGAGUGGAGGGCUGCGAGAUAUCCUUUGACACCUCGUGCUGCACCUCAUUGCCGCGGGCUGGCGGAUCCUCAUCAGAUCAUUUUCCUUCUCUUGUCUCCAGAUCCAGAUCUUCCUCCUCAAGAUGAACAACAAGAAGCGCAUCCUGGUGCGGCUGGAGCGGCUCACCAUCUUCAUGGUGGAGCAGGAGAACUCCCUGGAGAACGCCGUCUCCUACUACCUGGGCGGUGUGCCCCCGGAUGCACUGCCCCCCAGGUGGGUCCAGCCUGCAGUGGGGUGGGACAGUUCGCAUCUUCCCCUCCAGUGUCCCUCAUGGUGGCCCCAGCCCUUUCUCAGCCACAUCCAGGGCUGUUGGGGCCCUGGAUGAAGCUCUGGGGGGUGAUUUCCUGCCCGUCACCGUGAGCCUUUGAGGAUGGGACAUCUCCAUCUCUGGUGGAGGAUGAGAUGCUGGUGGGUGUCACCGGGUCCUCCUUUGCUGUGCUGGGUGCUUCGGAGCAGCCUUGUGCCUGAGGCACUGGGGAUACCUGCG
RNAcentral lists this long non-coding RNA (1045 nucleotides) under Amazona collaria (yellow-billed parrot). RNAcentral's name for it is "lncRNA (ENSACOG00000008047.1)". The record is from RNAcentral. Lineage: Eukaryota; Metazoa; Chordata; Aves; Psittaciformes; Psittacidae.